This 301-nucleotide ribosomal RNA is filed under the name uncultured bacterium. RNAcentral describes it as "partial 16S ribosomal RNA". It matches the Rfam family "Bacterial small subunit ribosomal RNA", at positions 509 to 807 of the family's 1533-position model. The record is from RNAcentral.
CAGUCGCCGCGGUAAUACGAAGGGGGCUAGCGUUGUUCGGAAUUACUGGGCGUAAAGGGCGCGUAGGCGGCCAUUCAAGUUAGAUGUGAAAGCCCUGGGCUCAACCUAGGAAUUGCAUUUGAUACUGUUUGGCUUGAGUUCGGGAGAGGUGAGUGGAACUGCGAGUGUAGAGGUGAAAUUCGUAGAUAUUCGCAAGAACACCAGUGGCGAAGGCGGCUCACUGGCUCGAAACUGACGCUGAGGCACGAAAGCGUGGGGAGCAAACAGGAUUAGAUACCCCUGUAGUCCCUGUCUCUUAUAC